This 253-nucleotide ribosomal RNA is filed under the name uncultured bacterium. RNAcentral's name for it is "partial 16S ribosomal RNA". It matches the Rfam family "Bacterial small subunit ribosomal RNA", at positions 524 to 776 of the family's 1533-position model. The record is from RNAcentral.
UACAGAGGGUGCAAGCGUUGUUCGGAAUUAUUGGGCGUAAAGGGCGCGUAGGCGGUGCGGUAAGUCUGUAGUGAAAUCUCUGGGCUCAACUCAGAGUCUGCUGCAGAAACUGCCGUGCUUGAGUGUGGGAGAGGUGAGUGGAAUUCCCGGUGUAGCGGCGAAAUGCGUAGAUAUCGGGAGGAACACCUGUGGCGAAAGCGGCUCACUGGACCACAACUGACGCUGAGGCGCGAAAGCUAGGGGAGCAAACAGG